Molecule: ribosomal RNA, 460 nt
Filed under: uncultured bacterium
Lineage: Bacteria
Description: partial 16S ribosomal RNA
Rfam family: Bacterial small subunit ribosomal RNA
Source: RNAcentral
CCUACGGGGGGCAGCAGUGAGGAAUAUUGGUCAAUGGACGAGAGUCUGAACCAGCCAAGUAGCGUGAAGGAUGACUGCCCUAUGGGUUGUAAACUUCUUUUAUAUGGGAAUAAAACGUUCCACGUGUGGGAUUUUGUAUGUACCAUAUGAAUAAGGAUCGGCUAACUCCGUGCCAGCAGCCGCGAUAAUACGGAGGAUCCGAGCGUUAUCCGGAUUUAUUGGGUUUAAAGGGAGCGUAGGUGGAUUGUUAAGUCAGUUGUGAAAGUUUGCGGCUCAACCGUAAAAUUGCAGUUGAAACUGGCAGUCUUGAGUACAGUAGAGGUGGGCGGAAUUCGUGGUGUAGCGGUGAAAUGCUUAGAUAUCACGAAGAACUCCGAUUGCGAAGGCAGUUCACUGGACUGCAACUGACACUGAGGCUCGAAAGUGUGGGUAUCAAACAGGAUUAGAUACCCUUGUAGUC